Molecule: ribosomal RNA, 253 nt
Filed under: uncultured bacterium
Lineage: Bacteria
Description: partial 16S ribosomal RNA
Rfam family: Bacterial small subunit ribosomal RNA
Source: RNAcentral
AACGUAGGAGACGAACGUUAUCCGGAGUUACUGGGCGUAAAGGGCGUGUAGGCGGUUUGUUAAGUCUGGCGUGAAAGCUCUCGGCUAAACCGGGAGAGGUCGUUGGAUACUGGCGAACUAGAGGAUGGUAGAGGCGUGUGGAAUUCCGGGUGUAGUGGUGAAAUGCGCAGAUAUCAGGAGGAACACCGAUGGCGAAGGCAGGUCUCUGGGCCACUACUGACGCUGAGAAGCGAAAGCAUGGGGAGCGAACAGG